This 138-nucleotide non-coding RNA is filed under the name Micromonospora rifamycinica. The record is from RNAcentral. Lineage: Bacteria; Bacillati; Actinomycetota; Actinomycetes; Micromonosporales; Micromonosporaceae.
UCGACAUCCGGUGCGCCGGGUGCUCAACUGCAUACGUCCCGUGUGGGGGGAAGCCGGUAGAGGCCGGCGCUGACCCGCAACCGUGAGCGAGGGGUCCUCUCGCGAGCCGGAAUGCCCCGCCCGGGACGAGCGGCUUCC